AUUGAACGCUGGCGGCAGGCCUACCACAUGCAAGUCGAGCGGAGCGGCGGACGGGUAAGUAAUUCCUAGGACUCUGCAUGGUAGUGGGGGAUAACGUCCGGAAACGGGAGCUAAUACCGCAUACUAUCAGAUGAGCCUAGGGCGGAUUAGCUAGUGGGUGGGGUAAAGGCCUACCAAGGCGACGAUCCCUAACGGGUCUGAGAGGAUGAUCAGUCACACUGGAACUGAGACACGGUCCAGACUCCUACUGGAGGCAGCAGUGGGGAAUAUUGGACAAUGGGCGAAAGCCUGAUCCAGCCAUGCCGCGUGUGUGAAGAAGGUCUUCGGAUUGUAAAGGACUUUAAGUUGGGAGGCGUUACCAACAGAAUAAGCACCGGCUAACUUCGUGCCAGCAGCCGCGGUAAUAC
Molecule: ribosomal RNA, 407 nt
Filed under: uncultured bacterium
Lineage: Bacteria
Description: partial 16S ribosomal RNA
Rfam family: Bacterial small subunit ribosomal RNA
Source: RNAcentral